Molecule: RNA transcript, 1242 nt
Organism: Erigeron canadensis
Lineage: Eukaryota; Viridiplantae; Streptophyta; Magnoliopsida; Asterales; Asteraceae
Exons: 4
Source: RefSeq, a predicted model, not a curated record
UCUACUAGCUAGCUAGCUUCAUUACUAGAAUAAUCCCAUAAAUUUUGUUACUGAUAUUUAGUUCGAUUCACAAAGUAUGAAGUUUCAUCUAAUGUUCAUUCUGUUUCUUCUGUCAAAUCUCCAUAAUUACGAAGCCGAAGGUAUAAGGCUGGGAAGAGUUGUUUUAUCAUCUAGCAACCAUCAAGCAAUGAUCACCAAGAGUUCGUCGAUAGAGGCAAGCAACCAAGAUAGAGACUUGAUAACAAAAACUGAUGAACUUCCAUCAGAUGAGAGGUUGGCCCUAACUUGGGGUUAAUUUUCCAAAAGAUUGCGAAAAUAAGUUUCUAUUAACGAGGAAACUCAGUCAUGUUGUUAGAGAGGUCUCGCAUUAACCCACAAGCGCGCUAGCUAGGAUUGGCCCGUAGUUGAUCAGUGAACUUGAUACUCCCUAACCUGCUGGCCUUCUUAAUUAGCUAACUUAUUGAGUUAUGUAUACCCGUUUAUUUGUGGGACGAUUUUACAUCAAUGUCAUGAUUGUCUCUUACUUGCUAAUCAUCUUGUGCAUUUGUCAAUUUAUUCAUGUUUCUUUUUGUAAUAUAUUUGCAGGAAUAAAUAGAAAAUUAAUAACCAAUGUAACAUCUUCUAACAUUCCUAAGGUUGGUUAAUCAAAUCAAAACCAUAUAAUUAUAAUAUAUAGGAGCAAGAAGUUAAUGCUGAAAUAAAGUACUUCUUUUCAUUAUAUAUGUAUGUACGUUACUAGUACUAUAUAUUUUGGUCAUGUACAGAAUUACAAGAAUGAUGAUGGAAAUAAAUAUGACCCUAAACCGGAUAUUAAAUCUUCUCUCGGACCAGUAGGAAAUGGAGAUGAUUUCUUGUUUAAUCUGUCACCUGAAAAUUGGAAACUUGGAGAGGAAGGCGCUGAGGAGCAGGGUCCGGACAACAUUCAUAUCGGUGUAAUGGAUUAUUCUGCUCCUAAAUCCAAGCCUCCAUCACACAACUAAUUAGGCUUGAUGAUCGAAUUGAUCGAAAUAAUACUGAGAAAUCAAGAUAAAUAAUAAAGCAAGUACAUGAUGUGAUAUGAUGUAGUAAAAGAAACUAUCUGAUAUAAAUAUCCCAUAAUCUAAUUAUAUAAGUUAAAUCAGACAGCAUCGUGGAAAUGAAGCAGGUUUUUUGGAUGGAACAAGAUCGAUCAUGAAGUUAUGCUGUCGAUCUGUUUGGAAGUAUUAAAUUAAUGGUCUUAAUAUAGAAUAAGUUAAUUAAUUA